UUGACGAGAGGGAGCGGCAUAAAAGUCAGCGGACCCAGGAGACCUUCGCCAGAACGUCUGGCACCACUCCCUCGUUCCUUGCUCGCCUUCUUUGUGCUCUUCCUCGUUCCCGUGUUUGAUGUCCUUUGUGUCUUCCAAAGUGUCUUCCCUGUUGCCUGUGAUCGUAUCCUGCCUCACGACCUCCACCUGGAUCUCUGCUUGCCUCCCUCGACCCUUGACCUCUGCUUGGACUCGGACAUUGUUGCAUCUCCCCAGCCCCCGACUGCCUGCCUCCCUACUGACCGCCUCUUCGCCUUGCCCCUUGGAUUCGGCGAAAGAUUCACACAACACGCACCGACAACAACCCCUGGUAAAACUGUUUGUCAGAGUUCCUCCUCUGGCUGCUCGUCUGGACACGCACGCAGACAAUUGUGCAUCACAGCACCUGAACUUGACGAGAGGGAGCGGCAUAAAAGUCAGCGGACCCAGGAGGCCUUCGCCAGAACGUAGCCUAUCUUUCACAUGUCUUCCCUGUUGCCUGUGAUCGUAUCCUGCCUCACGACCUCCACCUGGAUCUCUGCUUGCCUCCCUCGACCCUUGACCUCUGCUUGGACUCCAGCCCUCGACUGCCUGCCCCCCUACUGACUGCCUCUUCGCCUUGCCCCUUGGAUUCGGCGAAAGAUUCACACAACACGCACCGACAACAACCCCUGAUAAAACUUACAUUGUUAAUUCUACACAUCGUCCUCACUCAUUCACUUGUGGUAGCAUACACACCCCACACACCCAUCAAGGUUUCAAUAAACCUGAUAAACCGCA
Long non-coding RNA from Nerophis ophidion (straightnose pipefish), 798 nucleotides. RefSeq lists it as uncharacterized. Lineage: Eukaryota; Metazoa; Chordata; Actinopteri; Syngnathiformes; Syngnathidae. The record is from RefSeq and is a predicted model, not a curated record. The transcript has 2 exons.